This is a long non-coding RNA of Oncorhynchus gorbuscha (pink salmon), 1207 nucleotides long. RefSeq lists it as uncharacterized. The transcript is spliced from 3 exons. NCBI's taxonomy places the organism in Eukaryota, Metazoa, Chordata, Actinopteri, Salmoniformes, Salmonidae. The record is from RefSeq and is a predicted model, not a curated record.
CGCAUGUCACACCCUGGCCUGACAAAAUAAAUACUAAGACCAAGGCGUGACAUCAAGCCUCUACUCAUUCUAAUCAAUCUAGGUGCUCAGGCUCAUUCCAGGGCUCUGCCCCUCAUGUCCCUCAACUUGCUGUCUGUGGAGAAUAAUGUUUUGAUGCUGACGGAUAUUCACAUGCUGUUAACUAACCAAAGUGUUGUGCGUCCAUUGGAAUGUGCCCUUUGUGCGGCAUUGGAAAUGCUACCUGGUCGUUGUGGUUAUAUCUGUGUGGGAUACAGAUGAGUUCCAUCUGCUCUGACUCUGGUCCCUGUCUCCAGCCCCACGUCUCCUCAGUCCUGCCACCCUACCCACAACACCCACUCCACUGCUUCCUUGGAUUCUGCUCUGGACCUACUUACCAAGCCCCAACUCCCCUCGCUCCAGCCUCAGCCUCAGAACCUGGCUUCCUGCAAAUCGCCCAAGCUUCCCCUGACCUGCACACCAUCUUUCCCCUACUUAAAAAGAAAACCUUGGAACCUUGGAUACCUUAUCCCUAUCUCCUCAUCUGAGUCUGCUCUUGGGUUCACCUGCUCCUUGUAACACCUAGUUCCUGCCGGACAAACAGGUUUUUUUCACGGCUGUCAUCUGAGGAGAGACAAUACCCCACUAUGCAGCAGCUAAGAAGGAAUUACAAAUGGUGUAAAACCUCCAUUAGCAGUACUGGUUGAUUUACAGAGGCCAGUGCUGAGGUCUAAUGUAACAACUGGAAAGUCAAGGCCAUAUUUAGCAUGCAAGUAAUGAAUCACCACGACACUAUGAUGAAGUGUGGGGGGGGGGACUUCUGCUUGAACGAAUACAUUAAAAUGCAAGACACAUUGGGCAAACAUUUGACUUUCAACAAAACAGAAAAAGGAUAAAUCUCAUCAGGGCAAUGUGAUGGUACGCAGGUUAUCUUUUUGUCCUUCACCAUAGUGGAAUACAUUUUUUCUUCCUCAUUUUAGGUAAUGUAUUUCUUGUAAUACAUGAAUCAAAUAUCACCUUCACAUUUCCUGUUAAAUCAUUGUAUGCUCAAAUUAUCAUAAUGGGGCAAAUCCAUGCUUGUCAUAAGGUGAAUUUGCCCUCAGCAUAAACUCUCCAAACUUGAGUGACUGUUUUGACCAAUUCUGUAAGCAAUGAACAACAUUUUAGCAUCAACUACCCAAAAGGCAGUAUGACAGAGAAAGGAAGAUAC